This is a long non-coding RNA of Oreochromis aureus, 549 nucleotides long. The record is from Ensembl. NCBI's taxonomy places the organism in Eukaryota, Metazoa, Chordata, Actinopteri, Cichliformes, Cichlidae.
UGGCCGUAAUGACAGCUUGCACUGCUAUAAUGGAGUGCAGGCACAAGAUAGCUUUUGGCUGAGUGCUGGCUGCAGCCACCAACAGAUGAUUGCAACCUUUACUCCUGAGGACCACUUGAUCCGCAGACAGGGGGAAAAAAAAAAAAUCCGCAAGCAGUUAAUGAGUUGCCAUCCUUUCCUAGUGUUAAGGGUGUCUACAAAUUAACAGAGGCUUUUGUCAGGGCUCUCCUUUGCUCUCUCUCUCUUGCUCCCCCCUUGCCUCCUCUUGCCGCCACUUUCUCUCCUCAUCCUUGCGCCCUCCCCUCCAUCACGCCCUUCCUCCUGCUCUUCAAUUUUCUCUCUCUACCUGCCUGCUUCACGCUCCAGUAGCUCAGUGGCGGGAGCAGCGCUGUCUGGCUUUGGCUCUGAGCAGCAUUUAUUGUCAGCGCGGUUCAUGUUUAGAAUUAGCCAUUUAAUGAGAACAAAAGAAAUUAAUUGGUGGUUUAAGCCUAAUGAGACGUCUGUGAAAUUAACAGGCCUCAUCAAUUGAAACAAAUAAAAUCCUCCAGC